AACGAUCCCGGCGCCGACGGUCUCCGCCCAUCCGGGCGGGUGAAAAGGGAACACGGUGAAGGCGACCUGCCGAUUCCGUGGCUGCCCCCGCAACUGUGAGCGGCGAGCUUCGCGUCGAUCGUGCCACUGGGCGGCUCCUCCGGGACGUCGCGUGGGAAGGCGGACGCGAAGCGGCGACCCGCGAGCCAGGAGACCUGCCGUCGACCGUCACCCGAC
Molecule: non-coding RNA, 216 nt
Filed under: Lutibaculum baratangense
Lineage: Bacteria; Pseudomonadati; Pseudomonadota; Alphaproteobacteria; Hyphomicrobiales; Tepidamorphaceae
Source: RNAcentral